RNAcentral lists this ribosomal RNA (292 nucleotides) under uncultured bacterium. Its description in RNAcentral is "partial 16S ribosomal RNA". It matches the Rfam family "Bacterial small subunit ribosomal RNA", at positions 505 to 796 of the family's 1533-position model. The record is from RNAcentral.
GUGUCAGCAGCCGCGGUAAGACGAACCGAGCGAACGUUGUUCGGAAUCACUGGGCUUAAAGGGCGCGUAGGCGGGUAUUCAAGUCUGUGGUGAAAUCCGGCAGCUCAACUGUCGAAUUGCCGUGGAUACUGGGUAUCUCGAGGGAGGCAGGGGUGCGCGGAACUGAUGGUGGAGCGGUGAAAUGCGUUGAUAUCAUCAGGAACUCCGGUGGCGAAGGCGGCGCACUGGUCCUUUUCUGACGCUGAGGCGCGAAAGCCAGGGGAGCAAACGGGAUUAGAAACCCCAGUAGUCC